GACCCGACUGCUAUUUGGGUGAGGAUAAGCCAUGCGAGUUGAAUGGGAUACCCAAAGUUCCCAUGGCAAACUGCUCAGUAACACAUGAUCAACUUACCCUAUAGAGGAAAAUAACCUCGGGAAACUGAGGAUAAUAUUCCAUAAUUGAAUCGGCUUGGAAAAGUUUUUCAAUAAAAGGGAUAAGGAAAUGGUUCUUAUCUGCUAUAGGAUAGGAUCGUGCUCGAUUAUGGUUGUCGGUGAGGUAAAGGCUCACCAAGCCGAUAAUCGAUAGGGGCCGUGAGAGCGGGAGCCCCGAGAUGGGUACUGAGACAACGACCCAGGCCUUACGGGGCGCAGCAGGCGCGAAACCUCCGCAAUACACGAAAGUGUGACGGGGUUACCCAAAGUGUUCUAUUUAGAACUGUGGUAGGUGAGUAAUGUCCCCUACUAGAAAGGAGAGGGCAAGGCUGGUGCCAGCCGCCGCGGUAAAACCAGCUCUUCAAGUGGUCGGGAUAAUUAUUGGGCUUAAAGUGUCCGUAGCCGGUUUAGUAAGUUCCUGGUAAAAUCGGGUAGCUUAACUAUCUAUAUGCUAGGAAUACUGCUAUACUAGAGGGCGGGAGAGGUCUGAGGUACUACAGGGGUAGGGGUGAAAUCUUAUAAUCCUUGUAGGACCACCAGUGGCGAAGGCGUCAGACUGGAACGCGCCUGACGGUGAGGGACGAAAGCCAGGGGAGCGAACCGGAUUAGAUACCCGGGUAGUCCUGGCCGUAAACGAUGCAUACUANGUGAUGGCACGGCCAUGAGCCGUGUCAGUGCCGUNNGGAAACCGUUAAGUGUGCCGCCUGGGAAGUANGGUCGCAAGGCUAAAACUUAA
Molecule: ribosomal RNA, 853 nt
Filed under: uncultured archaeon
Lineage: Archaea
Description: bacterial SSU rRNA
Rfam family: Archaeal small subunit ribosomal RNA
Source: RNAcentral